GACUAAACUCUUUGAAAAUGGAUGAGAAAUAACAGUUAUAAUCACAAUCUGAUCAAAAUUGUUACAUAUAAGACAUUCCAAAUAAGGGGCAUUUUGCCCCUUUGGGAGUUAAGAAUGUUUAAUUUAUGCAGUUGUAUCUGUGGAAGGGAAAGGACCCAGUAAUGAGUGUCUGCUGCUUUCAAGGAUGUAGUAGGUGGUUAAAUGUAAAUUAUGGAUUGUUGCAACAA
RNAcentral lists this unclassified non-coding RNA (227 nucleotides) under Hevea brasiliensis (rubber tree). The record is from RNAcentral. Lineage: Eukaryota; Viridiplantae; Streptophyta; Magnoliopsida; Malpighiales; Euphorbiaceae.